Non-coding RNA from Dermatophagoides farinae (American house dust mite), 258 nucleotides. The record is from RefSeq and is a predicted model, not a curated record. NCBI's taxonomy places the organism in Eukaryota, Metazoa, Arthropoda, Arachnida, Sarcoptiformes, Pyroglyphidae.
AUCAUCAUCAGCAUCAAUAAAAGAAAAUUUAUCCACAAUUUGUUGUUUUUUUUUCUUAAUAAUUGUGGAUACAUUACAAAUACAACAUAUUAAUCACACACAAUCUUUAUAUGUUUGUAUGUGUGUGUGGCAAGCCUUUUUUUUCUAUGAUUCCAAAUCGGUAAUUUACUACCAAUUCAUUGAUUUGAUUAUACAUAUAUAGAUUGGCUAUGAUUUGGUUAAACUAUAUAUGAAAGAAAGAAAAAUAUAACAUUAAUG